RNAcentral lists this ribosomal RNA (446 nucleotides) under uncultured bacterium. RNAcentral describes it as "partial 16S ribosomal RNA". It matches the Rfam family "Bacterial small subunit ribosomal RNA", at positions 338 to 795 of the family's 1533-position model. The record is from RNAcentral.
CCUACGGGUGGCAACAGUCGAGAAUCAUUCACAAUGGGGGAAACCCUGAUGGUGCGACGCCGCGUGGGGGAAUGAAGGUCUUCGGAUUGUAAACCCCUGUCAUGUGGGAGCAAAUUAAAAAGAUAGUACCACAAGAGGAAGAGACGGCUAACUCUGUGCCAGCAGCCGCGGUAAUACAGAGGUCUCAAGCGUUGUUCGGAAUCACUGGGCGUAAGGCGUGCGUAGGCUGUUUCGUAAGUCGUGUGUGAAAGGCGCGGGCUCAACCCGCGGACGGCACAUGAUACUGCGAGACUAGAGUAAUGGAGGGGGAACCGGAAUUCUCGGUGUAGCAGUGAAAUGCGUAGAUAUCGAGAGGAACACUCGUGGCGAAGGCGGGUUCCUGGACAUUAACUGACGCUGAGGCACGAAGGCCAGGGGAGCGAAAGGGAUUAGAUACCCGAGUAGUC